Molecule: ribosomal RNA, 406 nt
Filed under: uncultured bacterium
Lineage: Bacteria
Description: partial 16S ribosomal RNA
Rfam family: Bacterial small subunit ribosomal RNA
Source: RNAcentral
AUUGAACGCUGGCGGCAGGCCUAACACAUGCAAGUCGAGCGAGCGGCGGACGGGUGAGUCAUGUCUGGGAAACUGCCUGAUGGAGGGGGAUAACUCCUGGAAACGGUAGCUAAUACCGCAUACCAUCAGAUUUGCCCAGAUGGGAUUAGCUAGUAGGUGGGGUAACGGCUCACCUAGGCGACGAUCCCUAGCUGGUCGUAGAGGAUGACCAGCCACACUGGAGCUGAGACACGGUCCAUACUCCUACGUGAGGCAGCAGUGGGGAAUAGUGCACAAUGGGCGCAAGCCUGAUGCAGCCAUGCCGCGUGUAUGAAGAAGGCCUUCGGGUUGUAAAGUACUUUCAGCGGGGAGGCGUUACCCGCAGAAGAAGCACCGGCUAACUCCGUGCCAGCAGCCGCGGUAAUAG